Molecule: long non-coding RNA, 934 nt
Filed under: Homo sapiens (human)
Lineage: Eukaryota; Metazoa; Chordata; Mammalia; Primates; Hominidae
Description: HSALNT0192656
Source: RNAcentral
CUUUCUCACAAUCUGUCAGAUGCCUCCAAAGGCCCUGAGGUGAUAACUACAGGAUAAAAAUAUUCACUUAAAUUAGUGGUUUUCAACACUGGCUGUAAAACAGAAUCAUAUGUGGGUUCUUAAAAGACUGAUGCUAGGGGCUUAUCCCAGACCAAUGGAAAUGGACUCUCUGGAGGUGAAAACCAGGUAAACUGGCCUCAAAAAAGUGGAUAAUAUUCUAACAUGGGAAUGCAAAACCAUCAUGCCUGGAAGAUCACUGCAUCAAGGAAAAAAAUUUUCAGCCUGACCAAUAUGGAGAAACCCCAUCUCUACUAAAAAUACAGAAUUAGAGGAGAGUAGGUUCCAAGAUGGCCAAAUAGGAACAGCUCCAGUCUACAGCUCCCAGCGUGAGCAACGCAGAAGACGGGUGACUUCUGCACUUCCAACUGAGGAUAUAUGAUUGUGUGGCCUGACAAUCUCAGAAAGUAAAAGCAAAGAAAUUGAAAGACAUGGAAAGAACUAGGCCGGGACCAGCACUGGGCCUUAAUAACCAGUUCACUGAGAUGCAUUAUCCAUAUGAUUCAAGAGAGAGCCUUUAUUACUCAUCCGACCAAGCUUGCAGUGAAACUUUUUGUAAGAAAAGGAAUGGUGUGUUGAGAAUUAAAAUUAAGUGACAUCACCAACAAAAGAACCUAACUGCCCAUGCCUGUAACUUCCUGGACUUGGGGAGGCCAGAGAGCUCCAAUGGACUGAAAAUAGGACAAUUCAUUUAUACAGAACAGAACAGAAGUUCCUUCAUGGAGAAAUCUAUCAUCCACACGCCCCAUUAAAAAGCAAAUGAGAAAAAUCUCAGACAUCUUGUCUGCUGUUUUAUGCUGUCUAUUCCUUUAAUAUCCUUCCCAAGGUUCUUUUUUUAUUGUUUGGCCACAAUGCCUUUUAAAUAUAAACAGAAAAG